This 5984-nucleotide long non-coding RNA is filed under the name Helianthus annuus (common sunflower). RNAcentral's name for it is "hypothetical non coding rna". The record is from RNAcentral. Lineage: Eukaryota; Viridiplantae; Streptophyta; Magnoliopsida; Asterales; Asteraceae.
ACUCAGCAGGGUCGCCAUCAAUGGGCUCAUAGGCUCCCUCGGGUAAGGCGAAGGGUAAGGGGUCAUCAGCGUGCUCAUCGGCGCCGUCAGGUAACGCGAACGGCUGGAAGUCGUCAUCGUCGGUGCUAGUAUAGUCUGAGGUGUGCACCUCAUGCUCCGAAGACAUAACAUCGUCUGACACUAACGGUAGGGGUCCAGUGGUACCUGGUCCACCUGUAGCUGGUGAAUCCAUGGGUCUGUAACAUAACACAGAAUAAGCACAAAAUCAGUGAAUCAAAUAGUCACAUAAGUUACCAGAUAAUAAUCACAUAAUCCACCUAGUCCCACUAGCCUCCCAGCCUCUCAGACUGUCCUUCCUAGUCUCACUAGCCAACAUUCCUAGUCCCACUAGCCAACACUCCUAGUCCCACUAGCCAACACUCCUAGUCCCACUAGCCAACACUCCUAGUCCCACUAGCCAACACUCCUAGUCCCACUAGCCAAUACUCCUAGUCCCACUAGCCUGAUCCUCAGCCUCCCAGACUGAGCCUAAAAUAAUGAAUAAUAUGUGCUCAACAUUUGUUUGUAAAAAGUUUGUGGAUCUGGACUUAAGUGGUAUGCAGAAAAAUGUUUUCGUGAGAGCCCUAGUGAUCAUAGUCUAGACUCGAGAAUGAAUCCUAGUUCGCUAUGAUCAGAGCUCUGAUACCAAGCUGUCACACCCUGGCUUUGCGGAAGCGUGGUUAAUUUGUGUGACUUCUUAAUACCAUAGCUUAAUCAUAACAAAGCUAUAUGAAUUUAAAAACCAUGCAAGUCAUCCAUUAAGUUUUUGAAAACAUAGUACCAUACCAUUGUUUUUAACAUGCAACCAUAACCUUGUUCAGAAACAUAACAACUUAUAACAAAACAUAAACGUGAUUUAGGGAUUGUGUCUUGUCCAGGUAAGAGACACAACCCUAAACCCUGAUGACUUCAUGACCAGUGCAGCGGAAAACGUUCCAUACCGUGCCAGAUCCGUUUAAUUUCCUGAAAUACAUGUGAGUUGAAAAAUCAACAAUAAUGUUGAGCGAGUUCAUGCGUAAGUGAGUAUGUAAAACCUUUGUGAGUAUAAAAAUAGUUGUGGUAUGUAGCAGUGUAAGAGGACUUGUGAUCACCAAUGGUUUGCAAGGCCACUGACAUAUGUGAAGUGCAAAUAGGGAGACUCAAACCUAGCAGAUUUCGCCACGGCAAAGUAUGUGGACAAAGUCACCCCACGGUCCGUUUCUAGUUUGGCCGGGGGCUGGGCUCGCUACACCCAGAUAGAUCUACCGCUCCUGUCCCUCGGUCCCUCCAUGAGGACUAAUGGCCCCAUGUUGUUCCUAUCCACUCACAUGAUCGUAUAACACCUCCUUACGUUAAACAUACCGUUGUAAAGUACUCGUAAAUCAUAGUAACAUGUAUUUCACCCCCGCAGUUAAGUAAACUGAAAACAGUUAGAGAAAAGGGGGACAUGAACUCACAGUGAAUGCGUAUCUCUACCAAGUAAUCCGAAUAUCCGAAGCUGUGCAACGACCUACAGGUGCUAAUUCUAUUAGACGGAUGGCCGUGCCUUAGCUUUAUAACUUAUAUUUUUAGGAGACGGUUAGACAACCGUUUCGUGUACAUACUUGGUAUUUUACUUUCCUUCCCAAGGAUGGGGGAUUUAAAUACAUGUGUAUUUAUACUAUCUCAUUAAGUCCCACUUAAUAUAUUUUUAUUUCUCAUUCCAAAAUAUAAUUAUUUUUCUCAAAAAUAAUAUAUUUUCUCUUUACAUAAUACUUUCCAAAAUAAUACGUUGACAACAUACGUGUUGGUGAAUAUUUCCGCGUAAUGCGUAAGUUACGUUUUAAUGAUUAGGUGGUAAUAGAAAUUACCGUUGUAACUCUUAUGCUUGUCAUAUAAGCGUUUGUAUUAUUUUGGGUUUGACAAGUUAGUAAAUAUUAUUUUUACUCUAAAAAUAAUAUUUAUACAUUUUCACAAAAUAAUCAUAAACAGUGUUGUGACAAAAUAUAUUUACCGAAUAUAUAUUUAUCACGUUUAGUUUUGUGAAAAUCCCACCUCCGAUUAUUUAUAAAUAAAGUUGUGGCGAAAUAUAUUUGAAAACAUGUCAAAGUAGUCUAACACUUGUAGAUAAUUCUAAGUGUUAGAUUUUAGGAAAAUUUCGCCAGAGUUUCCUCUGUAACUGGAGGUGGCCACGCUUUUAAGCGUAUCAUUUUCUUUUACAAAAUCACUUCUUUUAUUUCAAUCAAUCAAUUUCCAACAUAAUCAGCAAGUUUCAACACUUCGAAUUCGUAGACUAGUAUGUAAAAUCACAAUAUUACAUGAACUUGUAGUUUUUCUAAAACUAUUAUGUAGAUCUCGUUAUUUUUAGUGGAUCUAGGUAUAAAAUAGUUUAGUCUUGCAAAAACCCCGUUUUUGGAACAAAUCACUCUUUACAACUUCCGACAGUUUUUAUAAAAAAAAUUGUUAUUUCGUCGGAUCUUUCGUUUCACAAGUGUUUAUACACUUGUAGACUAUAAAAAUCACAUUUGUUAACAUGUUAAACAACUUUUAUAAAACAUGAUUUUCUCGACACCCGGUCCUACGAAUAUACCACUUGUACAUACGUAGAUCGGCUCGUUUUAAAUACUAUUUUUCACGUUAAAACAUUUUUACACAAGUUCAUGUUUCCCGUGUGGUGGAGUUUCACCUUUUAACCCUUGUACCAAAGAAACAAGUGUAUGUCAAGAUACGUGAUCCUAACAAAGUCGGGUUAAACGAUGAUGAGAGCCACCACAUCAUAGAUCGGGCCAUAAAAACCAACAUAUUCAAAUACUACGACAUUUACACGCGUUAUGAGCUUUUAACCAACGAUAUUCACAUUUUAGUAGACUUUAAAGAUUCAUGAAGCGGGUUACCGACAUUUAACCGAUAAAAAUCCUUUUAACCACUUUAAACAUGACUAAUAACGAGUUUUAAACAAUAUACCUCUAGCUCGAGGCUAGGGAAGAAACUAGUCGAAUACGGCGUGGGUAAAAGCAAACGGUAGAGGUCCUUGGCGUUCCGUUUGUUCCAAGCUUCGUUGUACGUGAUCCCCGACACUUGUAUGGACUUGGAAUGGGUGAAUCAAGAACCGAAAAAUGGUUGGGUGUGGGUGUGUGGUUCGGCCGAGAGGGAGCAAGGGGGAGGGAGAGAGAGAGUUUUGUGAAGUGUGUGUGUUUGUGUGUGUGAGAUGUGAGGGUAUUUAUAGAGAAUGUCGUCUCGGUCUUCGCGAAAUCUAAUUAAAUAUUCAAAGGUGUACUCUCCCCGGGUCCCACUAGUUGGCCGAUUUCAUUAGAAUGUAAUGGUAUCCGGUUCGUUUCCAAUCGUUCAGUUACGGUUCAGUUUGGUUAAGUGCGUUAAGUGAGAGGUCUAACCCCGUUAGUUGUUUAAUGCAUUAGAAAGCGGGUGUUAGGGUAAUCAGGGACCCUAACUGGCUCAGAAAAAUACCAAUAUUAAUUUUGGCAAUAUUUUUAUGUUCCGGGUAUUGUCCGGUUGUUCGGUCGGAUAGUAAUCCGUUAAAGUGCUUAAGAUAUCCUUUAAGCGUCAUAAAUAAUAUUUUUAGCGACACAAUUUAUUCUGCAAGUGUCAGGAAUAAUUCCUCAUAUUUUGGCACUUUAUUUAUUAGCUAGAAGCUAGUGUGUUGAUAAAAGUGCUGUGUUUCGUGCUUAAAGUAUGUUUUAGGCACAUCCAAAUCUCUGUAUCUUAUUCCUAGAGACGUAAUCAUACAACCCUUGUAUCCUUACACACACUAUGGUGUAGUAAAAUAAUUUUGGCUCAUUCAGGCCUUUAGAGGCAGUGUCUGCCUGAUGCUGGCUAUAUCAGCAUGUUCACUGUGUAUCCGUUUAGUGCUACUGUGCUUUUUGUGCAUCAAGUUUGUCACUAGAGUUCAGUAAAUAAAUAAUGUAGUGACAGGAAAAAUCAAAGUAUGAUGCAGACAUGUACAUGUAUCAACAAUCAAGUAGCAGUUUAUCAGAAAUCUCAGUUAAGCACAGUAAUUAGGCAACAGUUAAUAGCAAAUUAAGUCGUACGGAUACCUGGUUUUGUGAGGGUUGUCACAAACUUCACCCCCUUUUCCAAGGUUCAUUUGAGCUACCUGACGCUUAAGCAACAAGUUUUGAUGCCUCAGCUUCUCGACCCAUUCCUCAGCUUCAUAAUCAACCGACUUCGCUGAACUCGAUCUUGCCCUCCUGCUAGAUUGUGCCUGUCUUUUCGAAGUGGCACUUUGUCUCUCUAAGUAUGCCCAGUCUGCAGCCUCGGUGUUUGUGAGAAACGUACCAUUACUAAUGGCUAUGAGAUCUCUUACAUCAUCAGGAAGUAGCCCAUCAUAAAACGCCUUAAUUAAUUCCCAUCUCUGAAUUUCAUGAUGUGGGCAUUUCCUAAGCAACUCCUUAAACCUUGUGAACGCCUCAUGGAACGGUUCCCCUGAAUGUUGCUGGAAUGCUCUGAUUGCAUCCCGAGCUUCACUGGUUCUAUUCAUUGUGUAAUACUCCUCCAAAAAUACUUGUUGCAUCUUUUGCCAAGUGUAGAUACUCCCCGGAGGUAAUGUUGCGAACCAUUGGCGUGCCUUGUCUUUCAGGAUAAAUUGAAACAACAUCAACUUAACCUCAUCCUUUGUAAAACCCAAACCUCCUAUAGUUUGGCAAAUUGAAUCGAAGCUUGCAAUAUGCAAGUAUGGUUCUUCAGUUCUUUUUCCAUAGAAUUCCGGCAAAUGGCCUAAGUAUUGAGGCCUCACCUCGAAGGGUCGAUUAUUAUUCCCCACCGGUGUAACUAUAGCUGAUGAGUUGGGUACUACAACGGGUCGACAAUGACCUUCAACGCCUUGAAUUGGUGCCCCUUGAACGACUUGUGGGACGCCAUCCACAAACUGUAUUUGCUCGCCCCUAAACCGAUUAUUAGCUCUUCCCGCCUUAAACUGCGGGACUUCAUUAUGAACUAGAUUUUGUGGAAUCGGGCGCGGGAUGGGAUUUCUUUGAUUGACCUGUUGCACUGGGUAGCCUUGAUUCACAUUGUACCCCUCAUCAUAUCUGUAAUUUGCGUAUCUCUCGUCAUACUGAUUUUGAUAAUCAUCAUCUUCCCAACCGGAUUCCCAUGUAUGCACGCUGCCUUCUCUGUGUUGGAAACCCUCAUCAUACCUGUGUUGAUGUUGUGGUUGGUUAAGACGAAUGAUGUCCUCAUGUCGGAGAUUUAGAUUUGCCGGUUGGUGAUGGAGAGUGCAAAACACGAGCGUUAUGGUAAACGCGUAAUUCGAUGAAAUUGGAACGUUUAGUGAUGAAGCGGAACCGCCAAAGUUAAUAAAAAUAUUACGAGGAUAGUCAUUCAUAUAUUGAUGGCAGGAGUGAUAUAUAAUAUUCGCAUAUGCACAUACAUAAAAGGAAUGAAGCCAUCUUGAAAUUUCACGUGAACUUGAGAAGACUUUUGGGGGCUUAUUAUAUUAUAUUUCCAUUUUAUAAAAAAAUUAUGCAAAAGCCCUAGCAAAAUAGAAGAGGCAUCACGUGCACAGGAAAUCCAUCAUCAUUGAUGGGCCAACAUUUGCACUUGUGAGAUCAUCAAUCAUCAGACGCACACGUGAAGAUUGAAAAAUCUUGGGCGGCUGACUUGAGGGUGUGGGCCGAUAUCUUUGGUCUUUAUUGGGCCGCCAACACAACAUUCAGAGAAUGGACUACACGUAAAUAGAAGAGGGGGACUCCACUUUCGACGGUUACGAGGGGAGGCAGCGGACAUAGGAGACACGAGGUUUGAACAAAAUCACGUGAGGGUUUCAACGAUCACAACCGACAUGCGCGGCUAGUCUCGUCGGAUUCACCCCGGUGUAGAGGUUGUAAGAUUUCUAGGGUUUACACAUUUGUAUUUUGAUUUGAUUUUGUGACAAACUGUUUAGUAUUUGAAACCUUUGAUAAUUGUCUUGCAUUUGUUUCGAAUUCGUAAAUUGUCGAACGAUGUUAAAAGUUAUGACUUUGCGAAAUGGUUAU